ACUCGGCAAAUUACCCCCGUAACUUCGGGAGAAGGGGGGCCACAGACUGUCAUACCCCACGCGGGUGGCAGCAGUAGGUGGCCGCAGAGACCAGGGGGAAGCGACUGUUUACUAAAAACACAGGUCCGUGCGAAGUCGUAAGACGAUGUAUACGGACUGACGCCUGCCCGGUGCUGGAACGUUAAGGGGACCGGUUAGUCCGCAAGGGCGAAGCUGAGAACUUAAGCGCCAGUAAACGGCGGUGGUAACUAUAACCAUCCUAAGGUAGCGAAAUUCCUUGUCGGGUAAGUUCCGACCUGCACGAAUGGCGUAACGACUUCCCUACUGUCUCAACCACAGGCCCGGCGAAAUUGCACUACGAGUAAAGAUGCUCGUUACGCGCGGAAGGACGGAAAGACCCCGGGACCUUCACUAUAGCUUGACAUUGGUAUCCGAAUUUAAUUGUGUAGGAUAGGUGGGAGGCUUUGAUCCGCGGACGCCAGUCCGUCGGGGAGCCAACGUUGAAAUACCACUCUGUUGACUUUGGGUAUCUAACUUCGGACCGUGAUCCGGUUCAGGGACAGUGUCUGGUGGGUAGUUUAACUGGGGCGGUUGCCUCCUAAAAUGUAACGGAGGCGCCCAAAGGUUCCCUCAGCCUGGUUGGCAAUCAGGUGUUGAGUGCAAGUGCACAAGGGAGCUUGACUGUGAGACUGACAGGUCGAGCAGGGACGAAAGUCGGGACUAGUGAUCCGGCACCUGCGAGUGGAAGCGGUGUCGCUCAACGGAUAAAAGGUACCCCGGGGAUAACAGGCUGAUCUUCCCCAAGAGUCCAUAUCGACGGGAUGGUUUGGCACCUCGAUGUCGGCUCGUCGCAUCCUGGGGCUGGAGUAGGUCCCAAGGGUUGGGCUGUUCGCCCAUUAAAGCGGCACGCGAGCUGGGUUUAGAACGUCGUGAGACAGUUCGGUCCCUAUCCUCCGCGCGCGUAGGAGACUUGAGAAGAGCUGUCCCUAGUACGAGAGGACCGGGACGGACGAACCUCUGGUGUGCCAGUUGUCAUGCCAAUGGCACGGCUGGUUAGCUACGUUCGGAAGGGAUAACCGCUGAAAGCAUCUAAGCGGGAAGCUCGCUUCAAGAUGAGGUCUCCCACCCCUUAGAGGGUUAAGGCCCCCAGCUAGACCACUGGGUUGAUAGGCCAGAAGUGUAAGCCUGGUAACAGGUUCAGCCGACUGGUACUAAUAGGCCGAGGACUUCGG
Molecule: ribosomal RNA, 1232 nt
Filed under: metagenome
Description: bacterial LSU rRNA
Rfam family: Bacterial large subunit ribosomal RNA
Source: RNAcentral